CAGUCGCCGCGGGAAUACGAAGGGUGCAAGCGUUAAUCGGAAUUACUGGGCGUAAAGCGCGCGUAGGCGGUUUGUUAAGUCUGCUGUGAAAUCCCCGGGCUCAACCUGGGAAUGGCAGUGGGUACUGGCAAGCUAGAGUGUGUCAGAGGAUGGUGGAAUUCCCGGUGUAGCGGUGAAAUGCGUAGAGAUCGGGAGGAACAUCAGUGGCGAAGGCGGCCAUCUGGACUGAUACUGACACUGAGGUGCGAAAGCGUGGGGAGCAAACAGGAUUAGAUACCCGAGUAGUCCCUGUCUCUUAUAC
RNAcentral lists this ribosomal RNA (301 nucleotides) under uncultured bacterium. RNAcentral describes it as "partial 16S ribosomal RNA". It matches the Rfam family "Bacterial small subunit ribosomal RNA", at positions 509 to 807 of the family's 1533-position model. The record is from RNAcentral.